Molecule: unclassified non-coding RNA, 434 nt
Filed under: Senegalia senegal
Lineage: Eukaryota; Viridiplantae; Streptophyta; Magnoliopsida; Fabales; Fabaceae
Description: partial external transcribed spacer
Source: RNAcentral
UGGUGUUUGGGUUGUCGCUGCCGGCCGGCUCUGUGCUCGUCCACAGAACUGUCGGCAGGCAACCCCCGGUUUGGAGUGAGGCCCUAUCGUGGCCCGACGGGUGGUUCUUGCGUUGCCUACCCGCCAAGGGGAAGCGGAUCGCCCGACGCUUGGCCUCCAUCCUGCGCCUUCGGAUGGGCGCAGGAGGACGACGACGCGCCCCCCGUGUUCCAGCGAGCCGUGAUCGGUCGCGUGGCCCACGGGGACGUGCGAUGCUCUCGGACCCAGUGUAUGCCGCGGGGGAGGGGCUCACGUCCCAACUCCCAGCAGAAAGCUUCGAUCCCACGUACGACGGCCGCGCCCGCCCCUUUGCCCGCGUCGCGGCGCGGGGGCGUCGCGCGACGUCCCGAAGGAAUGCUACCUGGUUGAUCCUGCCAGUAGUCAUAUGCUUGUCU